RNAcentral lists this ribosomal RNA (253 nucleotides) under uncultured bacterium. RNAcentral describes it as "partial 16S ribosomal RNA". It matches the Rfam family "Bacterial small subunit ribosomal RNA", at positions 524 to 776 of the family's 1533-position model. The record is from RNAcentral.
GACAGAGGAUGCAAACGUUGCUCGGAAUUACUGGGCGUAAAGCGCGUGUAGGCGGGUCUUUAAGUCAGGGGUGAAAUGCCAAGGCUCAACCUUGGAACUGCCUUUGAUACUGGAGACCUUGAGUCCGGAAGAGGUGAGUGGAAUUGCGAGUGUAGAGGUGAAAUUCGUAGAUAUUCGCAAGAACACCAGUGGCGAAGGCGGCUCACUGGCCCGGAACUGACGCUGAGACGCGAAAGCGUGGGGAGCAAACAGG